UUUCAAAAGUGCUGAACAAAUAGUUAUAUUGACUACAUCCGUCCUAGCUCGCUCAUUAAUGUCUUAAUAGAUAUUACGGAUUGCCUCUUAACCGCUUGUCGUCCCCUUUGUCACAUCUGCUCCCACUACGCCCUCUGGUGUUCAUCCGGUGUCGUCCUAACCUGCAGUUCUCCCCCUGUAUACACUCUCUCUCUUGGUGUGAUUGUGUGGUUGGAGACAGGUGUGCUGGAGUCAGAGCAGAUCCCUACCAGCUGCAAAUCGUCCCAUAAAUCAAGACCUCUACAUAUACUCAUUCUUGCCACCUCCACUCUGCUAGAUUGUAAUCUCUGCUUAUUACCUCUCUUGCUCCUGUUCCACAUCUCACCACCUUCCUCUGGAUAUCACUCACCACCAUUACCUUGGAUUCCCCUCAGGACCUGUUCCCCUGUUCUACUCAGCCAACUUGAACCUCACUCUACACUCCUGGUUUUUGCAACUCGUCUGAGCUACACCGGUUCUGCACUCCCCAUUUCUGUGUUCAAAAAAAAUAAUUGCAUUCAUCCCGGCUUCCUCUUCUGAGUCCGCUCUUGGGUUCCCCCCUUCGCUCAUCGUAACACCCUUUAUGCCAUAGCUUGUACAUCUCAAUUGUCAGUAGAAACCACAUUUGAUUAAGCAAGUCAGCCAUAUCAGCUAUGUUUUUUUUAUUUUUUAAAGGCAACAAAUGAAGCUGAAUGAAUUGUUUCGCUGCCAGGCAAGGCUCUGUUGAUACCAAGGUGUAGCAGUGGUAAGGUGUUGGGACUGCUGUUGGGACUCUGCUGUUGGGACAGCUUUAUGUAGGCCCUAACAGUUUGUGGACACUGUUUAUAACCAUUAUAGUGCAAUUAAUGUAUUGUUUAGAGUUAUGUUGUAUAGUGGUUUUGCUUGCAUGCAUACCACCACUUUUUUUUUUUUUUGCCCCACCAAGAUUGUGAUGCUAAAAUCUCCACUGCAUUUAGCUAACAUUACAUAGUUCAUCCAGCGAUUCUUACCUUUGCCUCAAUUCGGCAGUCUCGUCCAGAUCAUGGCAUUUGUAGUUAUUUAUGAUAGCCACAUUAUCAGCUAAUUAACAUUUAAUUUGCUGGGGGGUAAAUACAGGUUAAAUAUAAUAAUUUACUUUUGUUUUAUCAUCUUGUGGUACAAACAUAAUGAACAUCAACAUGGGAAACAUGAUAUGCAGUUUAAGCUAAUAAACGGUGGGCAAAUUAUGUUAAUUGUGUUGAAAUGUUCAUAGAAAGGGCCUGAGCUCAAAUGCAAUAUUCAAACCACUAGAG
RNAcentral lists this long non-coding RNA (1289 nucleotides) under Salmo salar (Atlantic salmon). RNAcentral describes it as "lncRNA (ENSSSAG00000103981.1)". Lineage: Eukaryota; Metazoa; Chordata; Actinopteri; Salmoniformes; Salmonidae. The record is from RNAcentral.